This 565-nucleotide ribosomal RNA is filed under the name uncultured archaeon. Its description in RNAcentral is "bacterial SSU rRNA". It matches the Rfam family "Archaeal small subunit ribosomal RNA", at positions 312 to 879 of the family's 1478-position model. The record is from RNAcentral.
CGCGAAUCGCCCUUCGGGGUGCAGCAGGCGCGAAAACUUUGCAAUACACGACAGUGUGACAGGGCUAUCCCGAGUGCCAUCCGCUGAGGAAGGCUUUUACCCAGUCUAGAACGCUGGGGGAAUAAGGAGAGGGCAAGUCUGGUGUCAGCCGCCGCGGUAAUACCAGCUCUCCGAGUGGUGUGGAUGUUUAUUGGGCCUAAAGCAUCCGUAGCUGGCUAAGUUAGUCCCUUGUUAAAUCCACCGAAUUAAUCGUUGGAUUGCGGGGGAUACUGCUUGGCUAGGGGACGAGAGAGGCAGACGGUAUUUCCGGGGUAGGGGUGAAAUCCUAUAAUCCCGGGAAGACCACCAGUGGCGAAGGCUGUCUGCUAGAACGCGCCCGACGGUGAGGGAUGAAAGCUGGGGGAGCGAACCGGAUUAGAUACCCGGGUAGUCCCAGCUGUAAACGAUGCAGGCUAGGUGUUUGGACGGCCACGUGCCGUUCUAGUGCCGCAGGGAAGCUGUUAAGCCUGCCGCCUGGGGAGUACGAUCGCAAGAUUGAAACUUAAAGGAAUUGGCGGGGGAGCAC